UUAAAAAAGCCUAAUAUACCAAAGACAGUAAGUGCAAAAAUAAAUCUUACCGAGGGAAAAUAAAGAUAAAAUUCUUUAACCUUUCCUGAUUGGAAAGCUUUUUUAUAUAAAAUU
Regulatory RNA element from Mycoplasma sp. CAG:956, 114 nucleotides. It matches the Rfam family "Ribosomal protein L10 leader". Rfam says of the family: This family is a putative r-protein leader autoregulatory structure found in B. subtilis and other low-GC Gram-positive bacteria. It is located in the 5' untranslated regions of mRNAs encoding ribosomal proteins L10 and L12 (rplJ-rplL). NCBI's taxonomy places the organism in Bacteria, Bacillati, Mycoplasmatota, Mollicutes, Mycoplasmatales, Mycoplasmataceae. The record is from Rfam.